AUUGAACGCUGGCGGCAGGCUUAACACAUGCAAGUCGAGCGGGGUGAUGGUGCUUGCACUAUCACUUAGCGGCGGACGGGUGAGUAAUGCUUAGGAAUCUGCCUAUUAGUGGGGGACAACAUCUCGAAAGGGAUGCGGAUACCGCAUACGUCUUACGGGAGAAAGCAGGGGAUCACUUGUGACCUUGCGCUAAUAGAUGAGCGUAAGUCGGAUUAGCUAGCUGGUGGGGUAAAGGCCUACAAAGGCGACGAUCUGUAGCGUGUCUGAGAGGAUGAUCCGCCACACUGGGAGUGAGGAACGGCCCAGAAUCCUACGGGAGGCAGCAGUGGGGAAUAAUGGACAAUGGGGGGAACCCUGAUCCAGCCAUGCCGCGUGUGUGAAGAAGGCCUUAUGGUUUUAAAGCACUUUAAGCGAGGAGGAGGCUCUUUUGGUUAAUACCCAAGAUGAGUGGACGUUACUCGCAGAAUAAGCACCGGCUAACUCUGUGCCAGCCGCCGCGGUAA
RNAcentral lists this ribosomal RNA (503 nucleotides) under uncultured bacterium. Its description in RNAcentral is "partial 16S ribosomal RNA". It matches the Rfam family "Bacterial small subunit ribosomal RNA", at positions 30 to 523 of the family's 1533-position model. The record is from RNAcentral.